Molecule: ribosomal RNA, 504 nt
Filed under: uncultured bacterium
Lineage: Bacteria
Description: partial 16S ribosomal RNA
Rfam family: Bacterial small subunit ribosomal RNA
Source: RNAcentral
AGAAUUUGAUCAUGGCUCCGAAUGAACGGCGGCGGAAUGCUUUACACAUUCAAGUUGAACGGCAGCCCGGACUUUGGUUUGGUGGCGAGUUGCGAACGGGUGAGUAAUAUAUCGGAACGUGGCCCGUCGUGGGGGAUAACGUAGUGAAAAUUACGCUAAUACCGCAUACUAUUUAUGGAAGAAAGCGGGGGAUUGCAAGACCUCGUGCGAUUGGAAUGGCCGAUAUUUGAUUAGGUAGGUGGUGAGGGAAAGGGUCACCCAACCAACGAUCCGUAAGUGGUUUGAGAGGGCGGCCCCCCACCCUGGAACUGAGGCACGGUCCCGACUCCUACGGGGGACCGCAGUGGGGAAUUUUUGGCAAAGGACGCAAGUUUGAUCCAGCCCUUUCGGGUGCAGGACGAAGGCCUUCGGGUUGUUAAAUGGUUUUGUACCGAACGAAAAAGUUUUUUUUUAUCCUGGGGGGUCAUGACGGUACCGGAAGAAUAAGCCCCGGCUAACUACGUG